UCUAAGCCAAUCAGUACCUGAGAUAUUCAAAAGUAGGUCACCGUGACCUACUUUUUGGUCGAAAUGCUCUGAAAACCUAAGAUGCAUCUACUGACAAACCCCUGCGAGGUGAAAUUCAUGAUUUCAGGAACUUUUAUGAAUCGUUCAUGAACAUUCAUGAUGUGUUCAUGACUGGUUCAUGACUGGUUCAUAAAGAUGGUUCAUGAACUUUAUUCAUGAAUAUAUUCAUAAAAUGUAGUUCAUGAACAAAUGAUGAAUUUAUAUGAAUAUUGGUAAUUUUCAUUUUAAAGACAGAAAAAAUGUAGAGUUCAGGGUAUCGUGAAUGUUCAUGAAUUUUCAUGAAGACUAAAAUAAUUGACAAAAAUGAUUGACAGAAAACACUCAAUACUCUUAUAAUACAACUUUUGCAUGCAGAUGCAAUUGUUGAACAAGCCCCUGGUAUAAUUUAUAGUUAAUAACAUUCUUUCACCAUCUGAAAAAAAUAAAUCAUGAAAUCUCUAAACAUUUCGUGUUUUUAUUUGAUUUUAAUUAAACAAACAGUGCAUCACCAUUGACAGCAUUUUUUUUUUUCAAAUUCAUUACUUGUGUUUCUUCAUAAUUUAAAUUAAACAGUUAUAUUCAUCAUAAUGUGCUUUAAUUAAUGUCGUUUUUCAUCACACAACUUUGUUCGACCGAAUUUUCUCUAACAUCAAACUUUAAACAAGUUGUUGGAAAAUGAAACAUUCUGGAAAAUGAACUUUGUGAGCUUCGUAAAAAACGUUUUAUAUAUAUUAACAACUAAAGAAUUAUAUCACUUGUCUGUACUGUACCGUAUUAUUCCUGGAUCGAAACGCUAUAUACAUUUCAAUUUUGGUGCACUUAAAAUGUCAAAAGUUUCCCUUGCUUCGUGCGUAAAUGAUAGAGCACAGACUGCAAGGUUGUAAAGUAUCUAUGACAUAAUCCACAUUCGUAUUUUGUAGUUUUAAUUCUCCUAUGAGUCUUCACAGCUCAGAAUAUUCUGUCUGAGGGCGAGAGAUUGUUAUUAUCAUGUCAUAGGGGGCCGCCAUACUUGCUAUACGAAACUAAAAGUCAAUACAUGUAUAAUUUAUGACGUAAAAAAUUCGAAUUCUUCAUUGAUAAAACUUUUUUUGAUAUAAAAAAUUGUAUUUUCAGUGAAAAAUUAUUCAGAUAGUGUUUGUAAUUUUAUUUUAAACAGAAAUCUUGGAAAUUCGAAGCUAACGUAUUUCUUAGCUCUACCGUACAUUUUUGAAUAGGCGCAAACUUGAAAACGCGCGAGACGUUGGAAGUGGGAAUUUGUAGAGUGGAAGAAUCAGUAUUUGUGAUCUAUUAUUUGCAUAGUUACUGUGCCGUUUUCGUAUUGCAUAAUUUUAUUUCGAUCGGGUUCAAUAUUCUGUUUAUACUAAUUAUGGUAGCCAUGCGGUUUGCCUGGCGUUUUGGCUGUUAAGUUUGGUGAUGUUGGCCUCCCUAAGGAUUUUUCACCCUCUCACAAGAUGUGUCCAAUAAACAGUACAGUCACUGAUCUUUGUCAACUUUUUAAGAAAAUAACAGAAUAUGAAGAAGGACGACUAUAUAUAUAGGAUCGAUCUACUUCAUAACUGGAAAGUGAGAAGCAGUUCACAAAUGUUGAUGAGCAGAAGACAAGAAACUCUGGCUGCACAAAAAUCUGAUCUCUUGAAAAAGAAAGAAAAAAAGGAAAUGAAAAUAUGAAUGACAUUCAAUCAAACGAUCUAAAUGAUGAAAUUCUGGAUAUUCCACAUGGAGAGACAAUAAGGAUUUUUGAAUUGACCAUCUCUGCUCAAACUGCUUGAAAGCACUGAAAACUGUUACCCUGGUGCUGAACAAACUUUUCUCUUAGACUGGAAUUAAAAACUGUUCAAUUUCUGGCAUUAAAACACAAUUUGAAACAUGCUGAGGAAGGAUCCCCUCUCCUUUUGACCAAGUAAGGUUAAACUUUCUGCAAAGAGUUGCAUUUGAAUUGAAUUUUUUUUAUACUUUUUAUACCAGGAAUGAACUACAUUACUCAUUUACUAUGGUUUAGUGAGUCAGAAUUGUCUAUUUUAAGUUUUUUAACAAAGAUUUUGUUGCCAUGGUUGGAAAACAAACAACAUUUCUGUGAAAUCUUUCAAGAUGCUGUAUUAUAAAUCAUCUACUGUUAUUUUUUUAGCAUGACUUCAUGCAUUUUCAUGAAUAAACAUGAAUAAUAA
Saccostrea cuccullata (small rock oyster) is the source of this 2204-nucleotide long non-coding RNA. RefSeq lists it as uncharacterized. Lineage: Eukaryota; Metazoa; Mollusca; Bivalvia; Ostreida; Ostreidae. The transcript has 3 exons. The record is from RefSeq and is a predicted model, not a curated record.